CGCGGCCUAUCAGCUUGUUGGUGAGGUAAUGGCUCACCAAGGCGACGACGGGUAGCCGGCCUGAGAGGGCGACCGGCCACACUGGGACUGAGACACGGCCCAGACUCCUACGGGAGGCAGCAGUGGGGAAUAUUGCACAAUGGGCGAAAGCCUGAUGCAGCGACGCCGCGUGAGGGAUUAUGGCCUUCGGGUUGUAAACCUCUUUCAGCAGGGAAGAAGCGAAAGUGACGGUACCUGCAGAAGAAGCGCCGGCUAACUACGUGCCAGCAGCCGCGGUAAUACGUAGGGCGCAAGCGUUGUCCGGAAUUAUUGGGCGUAAAGAGCUCGUAGGCGGCUUGUCACGUCGGUUGUGAAAGCCCGGGGCUUAACCCCGGGUCUGCAGUCGAUACGGGCAGGCUAGAGUUCGGUAGGGGAGAUCGGAAUUCCUGAUGUAGCGGUGAAAUGUGCAGAUAUCAGGAGGAACACCGGUGGCGAAGGCGGAUCUCUGGGCCGAUACUGACGCUGAGGAGCGAAAGCGUGGGGAGCGAACAGGAUUAGAUACCCUGGUAGUCCACGCCGUAAACGGUGGGCACUAGGUGUGGGCAACAUUCCACGUUGUCCGUGCCGCAGCUAACGCAUUAAGUGCCCCGCCUGGGGAGUACGG
This 643-nucleotide ribosomal RNA is filed under the name uncultured Streptomyces sp. RNAcentral describes it as "bacterial SSU rRNA". It matches the Rfam family "Bacterial small subunit ribosomal RNA", at positions 232 to 885 of the family's 1533-position model. The record is from RNAcentral. Lineage: Bacteria; Bacillati; Actinomycetota; Actinomycetes; Kitasatosporales; Streptomycetaceae.